GCCGCUUGCGCCCUCGCUUGCAAAGGUCUCCUUCACCCUGGGCAGGUUUUUGUAACAGGCUCGUCUGUGUGAUAUACACGACAGGAUCGCAGCCUGCCUUUCUUUUCCGAAAUUAAUCCCUCUCGUAGAGGCACACAUCUAUUUUCAACCCGGCUUGCUCGGGUGACAUCAGACUGAGUCACCCUCAGUGACUGGAGGACGGGCCGGAGCUUUUGCAAGGAGAUUGCAGAUGAAACUGCCAAGGGCAACAGGGUCACAAGCGAAAUAGCGCUUGCAAAAUCCUCGGCUUCUAUUUUCAGGCUCCUUUUCCCUGUUUCGUUUCCUCCCGUUUUGCCGACUUACCUUCCUCGCUCCACGGGCGUUUUUCAGAAAAGGCUGCGCGCCAGGCAGGGGAGAAGCAGGAAGCCCGGGGGGGGCGUACGUCCGGCCGCCCCCCGCGCUGAGCGCGGCCGAGCCCAGCUCCCCGCGGGGCCGAAGGCAGGGGAGAAAGCGGCAAGGGAAUGAGGCCCUGCAGGACUGCUGAGGUGCAGGUGUGUGAAGCAGAGACAUCAAAGUGGAUCAUGGCAGCUUUCCUCUUCAUGCUGCAUCUCCUCUUCCUUGGGACUCUAAUUGUCCCAGCAUAUUUGCAGAUGGAAAGAUGUAAUUUGCUCCCGAACGCGACGGCAAGCAAUUUCUCCAUAUCCGUGAUACCUUCGACCUACAUGGCAAACACAACUUACGAAGUUAAAAUAAACAGCAGCAGAAGUGCAACUGCAGUUUUACUGCAAGCCUUAUCCUCCUCAAACAGCUCUGUGGGAGAAUGGAAGGACCUAAGCCAGGAAAACUGCAGUAAUAUUGCUACAGCAGUAAUGACUAGCACUAACACAACAGCAAAUUGGACAUCCCCAAGCAGUAACAUCACUUCUGUGGAAAUAAGAGGGGAACACAACCACACCAUCACCAUCACCAUCCACCACCCCCAACUCCAUCUCCGCGGUUCAGAGCAGCACCGUCUUCAUAGCCAUCGCACAAGCGCUGCUGCUCUUUGUCACAAGCAAACUGCUCUCCUAGAAGUCGGGGAGAGGAGACGACCCAGCUGUGCUGCAGCUUUCCUCCUCGCCUUCAGCGCUUGCGGGAGGGCAGGCGGCUGA
RNAcentral lists this long non-coding RNA (1130 nucleotides) under Struthio camelus australis. Its description in RNAcentral is "lncRNA (ENSSCUG00000006800.1)". The record is from RNAcentral. Lineage: Eukaryota; Metazoa; Chordata; Aves; Struthioniformes; Struthionidae.